GAUUUCUGGUACGAUGCCCCUGAUCCGCGCUCUUCGGAGUGUGUGUGUUGGUGUGGCGUCUGCCAUCUUUGUAGAUAUUGCCUUGGGGCCUUUACUGGCUUCGAGUGUCUUUUUUCUACAUCUUUUACUUUGAAAAAAUUAGAGUGUUUAAAGCAGGCUUUUGCUAUGAAUACAUUAGCAUGGAAUAAUAAUAUAGGACUUCGGUUCUAUUUUGUUGGUUUCUAGUACUGAAGUAAUGAUUGAUAGGGAUAGUUGGGGGUGCUAGUAUUCAGCGGCCAGAGGUGAAAUUCUUGGAUUCGCUGA
RNAcentral lists this ribosomal RNA (303 nucleotides) under Fisculla sp. RNAcentral describes it as "SSU rRNA". The stretch from base 116 to 303 matches the Rfam family "Eukaryotic small subunit ribosomal RNA", at positions 743 to 932 of the family's 1831-position model. Lineage: Eukaryota; Cercozoa; Thecofilosea; Tectofilosida. The record is from RNAcentral.